AUUGAACGCUGGCGGCAAGCCUAACACAUGCAAGUCGAACGAGGGGCGGACGGGUGAGUAAUGUCUGGGAAACUGCCUGAUGGAGGGGGAUAACUACUGGAAACGGUAGCUAAUACCGCAUACCAUCGGAUGUGCCCAGAGGGGAUUAGCUAGGAGGUGGGGUAAAGGCGACCCUAGGAGGCGAUCCCUAGCGGGUCUGAGAGGAUGACCAGCCGCACUGGCACUGAGCCACGGUCCAGACGCCUACGGGAGGCAGCAGGUGGGAAUAUUGCACAAUGGUCGCAAGCCUGAUGCAGCCAUGCCGCGUGUAUGAAGAAGGCCUUCGGGUUGUAAGGUACUUUCAGCGGGGAGGCGUUACCCGCAGAAGAAGCACCGGCUAACUCCGUGCCAGCAGCCGCGGUAAUAC
This 406-nucleotide ribosomal RNA is filed under the name uncultured bacterium. Its description in RNAcentral is "partial 16S ribosomal RNA". It matches the Rfam family "Bacterial small subunit ribosomal RNA", at positions 29 to 526 of the family's 1533-position model. The record is from RNAcentral.